Molecule: ribosomal RNA, 663 nt
Filed under: Gloioxanthomyces vitellinus
Lineage: Eukaryota; Fungi; Basidiomycota; Agaricomycetes; Agaricales; Hygrophoraceae
Description: eukaryotic LSU rRNA
Rfam family: 5.8S ribosomal RNA (bases 236-389)
Source: RNAcentral
GAAGUAAAAGUCGUAACAAGGUUUCCGUAGGUGAACCUGCGGAAGGAUCAUUAUUGAAUUUUGGAAGGGGGUUGUAGCUGGCCUUUCGAGGCACGUGCACGCCCCUGUUCAAAUCCAUCUUUACCCCUGUGCACUUUGUGUAGGCUGAGAAAUCAGUCUAUGUUUUUCUUAAACACCAAAAAAUUAUGGAAUGUUUUCUAUGUAGGCUUUUUGAAUAAAGCUGAAAUAACUAUACAACUUUCAACAACGGAUCUCUUGGCUCUCGCAUCGAUGAAGAACGCAGCGAAAUGCGAUAAGUAAUGUGAAUUGCAGAAUUCAGUGAAUCAUCGAAUCUUUGAACGCACCUUGCGCUCCUUGGUAUUCCGAGGAGCAUGCCUGUUUGAGUGUCAUUAGAUUCUCAACUUUGCCAGGUCCACUUUGAACUUGUGUGAAGCUUGGAUUUGGAGGUGUGCUGGCUCUCAUCAUGAGUCGGCUCCUCUUGAAUGCAUUAGCGAAACCCUAUGAAGGGGGAUAGGCUUUGGUUUGAUAGUUAUCUAUGUCAUCGCCGUGAAACCUCGUAUUGAAAAGUUGGUUCGCUUCCAACCGUCCAAUCCUUUGGACAACAAAUAUAUUUUGACAUUUGACCUCAAAUCAGGUAGGACUACCCGCUGAACUUAAGCAUAU